This is a non-coding RNA of Boletus coccyginus, 89 nucleotides long. Lineage: Eukaryota; Fungi; Basidiomycota; Agaricomycetes; Boletales; Boletaceae. The record is from the annotation of a GenBank genome assembly.
UCUCUGGUAGUAUAUCGGACAGUACACCCGCCUGUCAAGUGUUCUCACUUGGAUCGCGGGAGAGCGGGGUUCGACUCCCCGCCAGAGAG